Molecule: ribosomal RNA, 495 nt
Filed under: uncultured bacterium
Lineage: Bacteria
Description: partial 16S ribosomal RNA
Rfam family: Bacterial small subunit ribosomal RNA
Source: RNAcentral
GACGAACGCUGGCGGCGUGCCUAAUACAUGCAAGUAGAACGCUGAAGGAGGAGCUUGCCCUUCUGGAUGAGUUGCGAAAGGGUGAGUAACGCGUAGGUAACCUGCCUGGUAGCGGGGGAUAACUGUUGGAAACGAUAGCUAAUACCGCAUAGCAGUAGAUGUUGCAUGACAUUUACUUAAAAGGUGCAAUUGCAUCACUACUAGAUGGACCUGCGUUGUAUUAGCUAGUUGGUGGGGUAACGGCUCACAAGGGCGACGAUACAUAACCGACCGGAGAGGGGGCUCUGCCACACUGGUAUGGGGACACGGCCCAGAACCCUACGGGAGGCAGCAGUACGGAAUCUUCGGCAAAGGACGGAAGUCUGAACCAGAGACGCCGCGUGAGUGAAGAAGGUUUUCGGAUCGUAAAGCUCUGUUGUAAGAGAAGAACGAGUGGGAGAGUGGAAAGUGCACACUGUGACGGUACCUUACAAGAAAGCCCCGGCUAACUACGUG